GAUGAACGCUGGCGGCGUGCCUAAUACAUGCAAGUCGAACGCAUGGCGAAAGGUGCUUGCACCUUUCAAGUGAGUGGCGAACGGGUGAGUAACACGUGGACAACCUGCCUCAAGGCUGGGGAUAACAUUUGGAAACAGAUGCUAAUACCGAAUAAAACUUAGUGUCGCAUGACACAAAGUUAAAAGGCGCUUCGGCGUCACCUAGAGAUGGAUCCGCGGUGCAUUAGUUAGUUGGUGGGGUAAAGGCCUACCAAGACAAUGAUGCAUAGCCGAGUUGAGAGACUGAUCGGCCACAUUGGGACUGAGACACGGCCCAAACUCCUACGGGAGGCUGCAGUAGGGAAUCUUCCACAAUGGGCGAAAGCCUGAUGGAGCAACGCCGCGUGUGUGAUGAAGGCUUUCGGGUCGUAAAGCACUGUUGUAUGGGAAGAACAGCUAGAAUAGGAAAUGAUUUUAGUUUGACGGUACCAUACCAGAAAGGGACGGCUAAAUACGUG
RNAcentral lists this ribosomal RNA (497 nucleotides) under uncultured bacterium. RNAcentral's name for it is "partial 16S ribosomal RNA". It matches the Rfam family "Bacterial small subunit ribosomal RNA", at positions 28 to 507 of the family's 1533-position model. The record is from RNAcentral.